Molecule: ribosomal RNA, 453 nt
Filed under: uncultured bacterium
Lineage: Bacteria
Description: bacterial SSU rRNA
Rfam family: Bacterial small subunit ribosomal RNA
Source: RNAcentral
AGCGAACGCUGGCGGCAGGCUUAACACAUGCAAGUCGAACGGGCGUAGCAAUACGUCAGUGGCAGACGGGUGAGUAACGCGUGGGAACGUACCUUUUGGUUCGGAACAACCCAGGGAAACUUGGGCUAAUACCGGAUAAGCCCUUACGGGGAAAGAUUUAUCGCCGAAAGAUCGGCCCGCGUCUGAUUAGCUAGUUGGUGAGGUAACGGCUCACCAAGGCGACGAUCAGUAGCUGGUCUGAGAGGAUGAUCAGCCACAUUGGGACUGAGACACGGCCCAAACUCCUACGGGAGGCAGCAGUGGGGAAUAUUGGACAAUGGGCGCAAGCCUGAUCCAGCCAUGCCGCGUGGGUGAUGAAGGCCCUAGGGUUGUAAAGCUCUUUUGUGCGGGAAGAUAAUGACGGUACCGCAAGAAAUAAGCCCCGGCUAACUUCGUGCCAGCCGCCGCAGUAAG